CAUCAAGCUGAUGUCCACCUUCUUGGGCCAGAGGAGAGACUCAACUUUGCUUUGAGCCAUUGAUGAGCUGUAAAGUGAGAUACAUAUUUGAGGACUGGAUCGAACCAGCUCACCUGCUCCACAUUGCUCAUUUCUCUCAGCAAAUCCAAGGACUCAGAAGGAACCCUUCACCAACUGCCCAUUCCCACAUGCCGACCCGCAGAGCUAACUCCAAGCUUGCACCACCCACCUUCUGUCACCACCGUCCCUUUUCUUGUC
Molecule: long non-coding RNA, 258 nt
Filed under: Gorilla gorilla gorilla (western lowland gorilla)
Lineage: Eukaryota; Metazoa; Chordata; Mammalia; Primates; Hominidae
Description: lncRNA (ENSGGOG00000044628.1)
Source: RNAcentral